AAUGAACGCUGGCGGCGCGCCUAAUACAUGCAAGUCGAGCGAGAAGACGUAGCAAUACGUUUGUAAAGCGGCGAACGGGUGAGGAAUACAUGGGUAACCUACCCUCGAGUGGGGAAUAACUAGCCGAAAGGUUAGCUAAUACCGCGUACGCUCCUUGGACUUUGGUUCAGGGAGGAAAGCGAUACCGUGGGUAUCGCGCUCUUGGUUGGGCUCAUGUCCUAUCAGCUUGUUGGUGAGGUAACGGCUCACCAAGGCUUCGACGGGUAGCUGGUCUGAGAGGACGAUCAGCCACACUGGCACUGCGACACGGGCCAGACUCCUACGGGAGGCAGCAGUAAGGAAUAUUGCGCAAUGGGCGAAAGCCUGACGCAGCGACGCCGCGUGGGGGAGUGAAGGUCUUCGGA
RNAcentral lists this ribosomal RNA (404 nucleotides) under uncultured bacterium. RNAcentral's name for it is "bacterial SSU rRNA". It matches the Rfam family "Bacterial small subunit ribosomal RNA", at positions 29 to 422 of the family's 1533-position model. The record is from RNAcentral.